GGGCAGGUGGCGGAGCGGUCAAUCGCAUCAGACUGUAAAUCUGACGACCUUGUGUCUACGGGAGUUCAAAUCUCUCCCUGCCCACCA
RNAcentral lists this transfer RNA (87 nucleotides) under bacterium. Its description in RNAcentral is "tRNA-Tyr". It matches the Rfam family "tRNA". From Rfam's summary of the family: Transfer RNA (tRNA) molecules are approximately 80 nucleotides in length. Their secondary structure includes four short double-helical elements and three loops (D, anti-codon, and T loops). The record is from RNAcentral.